UUUCAAUGCUAGGCUCUUUCUGGAAAACUGAACACAUCAAUGCAGAGGUCCUUUGUCUUGAGGAUUUAAGACAAAGACAUGGCUUCACUGUGUAGCUUUGACUAUACUGGAAUUCACGUGAUGAUCUUGGACUCACAAAGAUCCAACUGCCUCUGCCUCCUGAGUGCUGGGAUUAAAAGUAUGCGCCCCUACAGCAGGCUAAGUGAUUGUCACAUAACUACUUUCUGUGAUUUAAAAAAAAUAUUUUUGUAAUUAUUUUAUUUUAUGGGUAUGGGUGUUUU
Molecule: long non-coding RNA, 281 nt
Filed under: Cricetulus griseus (Chinese hamster)
Lineage: Eukaryota; Metazoa; Chordata; Mammalia; Rodentia; Cricetidae
Description: lncRNA (ENSCGRG00015037497.1)
Source: RNAcentral